UUUAACUUUAAACAGAAAGUGUCCAGGGGUAGUCCGGUUUCAUCAAGGCGUUUUGAGAUCUUUGAACAUUGCAGAAUGGGAGAUCAAUGCAAAAAUCAGCUGACAAUACAGGAGGGAAACGAGGAGACCAAGUGAGUUCAUUCCCAUAUCAGCAUACUCAGGAUGUCAGCUAACAGAUAAAGCAUUUCUGGAGGAUUCGUGGAAACAAACAGAAGAGCCUGAGCUUCUCUGGGAACUGUUCAACUUCUUUUCUGCCUGGACUGCAAAUUAAAGGGAAAAACAGCAGGUUGAUUUUGUAUCCAGCUCCUGAAGAAGGUCACAUAACUGAACUUUUCUCUUCAAGCUUCUAUUCUUAGUGUGAACUUUCACUGACUUCUCUAUUGGAGCCUUGUUUGUUUGUAAUUUAGUAAAUUGUACUACAUGUAGGAAAUGGACUUCAUGGCAAUAAAACUGAAGCCCCUGAAAAGAA
Molecule: long non-coding RNA, 469 nt
Organism: Calidris pugnax (ruff)
Lineage: Eukaryota; Metazoa; Chordata; Aves; Charadriiformes; Scolopacidae
Exons: 2
Source: RefSeq, a predicted model, not a curated record